CCCUUAGAUGUUCUGGGCCGCACGCGUGCUACACUGAGUGGAUCAGCGGGUCAGGUUGCGCGAAAGCGUUUCCUAAUCUUUAAAUCCGCUCGUGAUGGGGAUUGACGGUUGCAAUUUUCUGUCAUGAACGAGGAAUACCUUGUAAGCGCGGGUCAUCAUCCCGCGCUGAAUACGUCCCUGCCCUUUGUACACACCGCCCGUCGCUCCUACCGAUUGAGUGGUCCGGUGAGGCUUUGGGAUCUGAGCGGAAAGAGCGUUUCGCUGUUUCUGGUCGGAAAACUCAGUCGAACCUUAUCAUUUAGAGGAAGGAGAAGUCGUAACA
Molecule: ribosomal RNA, 322 nt
Filed under: uncultured eukaryote
Lineage: Eukaryota
Description: partial 18S ribosomal RNA
Rfam family: Eukaryotic small subunit ribosomal RNA
Source: RNAcentral